GUCAGGGUGGCAAAGCCCGGUUAAUGCAAAAGACCUAAACCCUUUAAACAGAGGUUCAAGUCCUCUCCCUGACU
Molecule: transfer RNA, 74 nt
Filed under: Cyprinodon diabolis (Devil's Hole pupfish)
Lineage: Eukaryota; Metazoa; Chordata; Actinopteri; Cyprinodontiformes; Cyprinodontidae
Description: tRNA-Leu
Rfam family: tRNA
About the family: Transfer RNA (tRNA) molecules are approximately 80 nucleotides in length. Their secondary structure includes four short double-helical elements and three loops (D, anti-codon, and T loops).
Source: RNAcentral